Molecule: ribosomal RNA, 406 nt
Filed under: uncultured bacterium
Lineage: Bacteria
Description: partial 16S ribosomal RNA
Rfam family: Bacterial small subunit ribosomal RNA
Source: RNAcentral
AUUGAACGCUGGCGGCAGGCCUAACACAUGCAAGUCGAGCGAGCGGCGGAAGGGUGAGUAAUGUCUGGGAAACUGCCUGAUGGAGGGGGAGAACUAAUGGAAACGGUAGCUAAUACCGCAUAACAUCAGCAGUGACCAGAUGGGAUUAGCUAGUAGGUGGGGUAACGGCUCACCUAGGCGACGAUCCCUAGCUGGUCUGAGAGGAUGACCAGCCAGCCUGGAACGGAGACACUGUCCAGACUCCUACGGGCGGCAGCAGUGUGGAAUAUUGCACAAUGGGCGCAAGCCGGAUGCAGCCAUGCCGCGGGUGUGAAGAAGGCCUUCGGGUUUUAAAGCACUUUCAGCGGGGAGGCGUUACCCGCAGAAGAAGCACCGGCUAACUCCGUGCCAGCAGCCGCGGUAAUUC